GAGGAAAUCAUCAUAGCCAUUCAGAAAAGAAUAGAACUCAUCAACACACAACGGAAACAAAUAUGUUCUGUUCAGAAGACAUAAGUCCAAGUCCAGAUGGGUCGUUACUCACAUCAACACAAUAGAGAGGAAUAGAAAAGAAAAAACAAUGCAUAUUAAAGAAGGAAAAUCAAAUAUUUGCAGCGUAGCAAAAGAGGGCUCAGUUUUGCCUUUCAUCUUAAAGCCCAGCACUCACAUAGCUUGCUGCAUAAUCUACCCAUCGCGAUGUAAGAGGACUGUCCUGGUUAUCAUUCAUCAGAAUGACCGUCCAAGGCACAGAACAUCCAACAUUAGCUAUGAAUUGAAUUGCUGCAAGAGAGGUAAGGGUGCGCUCUAAUUUAGUACCCACAGGCCACAGCUGUCUUAAUUGCUCAAGAUAUGCUUAUUUCAGCCAUGGUCAUCAUCAUCGCCCCUGGUAAGAACUCCAUCUCUUCAUCACACAGAUCAAAUAUUUGUAGCGUAGCAAAAGAGGGCUCAGUUUUGCCUUUCAUCUUAAAGCCCAACACUCACAAGAGAACAUUGUUCAACAGAUGCUAUAAUGUACUAAGUGACAGUACAAGGUUUUCUCAUGCUAGGUGUAGAAAGAUUGCUAACUGAAACUGAAACUGAGAAUAUGGUUAAAAUAUCUCCCAGCUCUGCCUACAAAAAAUAUAAGACAUGCAGGACAAGCUCAAUUCACAACUCAAGAGGGCUGUGUAAUAAGGGAAGAGAAACUGCCAGGGGUAAAACAAUUGAAAAGCAAACAUAAUACCAGCAAUCUAUAUCUCAGGAUAUGUUGAAAGAUAUUGAGCACCAAGUGGGAGGAAAUCAUCAUAGCCAUUGAGAAAAGAAAAGAACUCAUCAACACACAACGGAAACAAAUAUGUUGUGUUCAGAAGACAUAAAUCCAAGUCCAGAUGGGUCGUUACUCACAUCAACACAAUAGAGAGGAAUACAAAAUAAAAAAACAAUGCAUAUUAAAGAAGGUAAAAUCAAAUAUUUGUAGAGUAGCAAAAGAGGGCUCAGUUUUGCCUUUCAUCUUAAAGCCGAACACUCACAUAGCUUGCUGUAUACUCUACCCAUCGCGAUGUAAGAGGACUGUCCUAGUUAUCAUUCAUCAGAAUGACCGUCCAAGGCACAGAACAUCCAACAUUAGCUAUGAAUUGAAUUGCUGCAAGAGAGGUAAGGGUGCGCUCUAAUUUAGUACCCACAGGCCACAGCUGUCUUAAUUGCUCAAGACAUGCUUAUUUCAGCCAUGGUCAUCAUCAUCGCCCCUGGUAAGAACUCCAUCUCUUCAUCACACAGUAGCAUCCAUCCAUCCAUCAGACUGGCCAUAGUGGUGAGUAACUUAGACAGUCUCUGGAGCUGCUCAAACCUGGCGUCACAGCCGACCAAACCUCAUCAGAGACAGACACAUCAGAACAGAACUCUACGGUUCCCAGCCCACGCCACAACCAAAUCCAAGGCAAUGGAAUGGCAGGCUGGCAGCACCAUAGCAACAGGGAACUGAUGUGGCAGCCACCCAGACGACCGGUCAGCGAGUCGGCGAUGAGAGCUUCACUAGUUUGUUCUUCUUCUUCUUCUUCGUAGGGAGAGGGGGUAGAGAGAGAGAGGAGGAUCCAUCCCAGAUCCAGAACAAAAUGCAACUGAACUGAGUAUAUGUACUAAAUCUCUACUAUCUCUACUAUUAAAGCAGGAUCGAACGUCGUGAUGGUUCAACCUACCGAUGGUUCGACCUCCCAGCGAUCCCACCUCCCACGUAAAGAAAAUCGACUCCCAGCGAGACUAUUAACCAGAAAGAAAGAAACCAUCUCGCAAGAACCAUCCCACCUCUCCCAGCAAGACUAUUAACCAGAAGAAAAAAACCAUCUCGCAAGAACCAUCCCACCUCGCAAGCUUCCCAGGUAAAGAAAAACGGCCGGUAAGAAAGAAAAAAACCAUCGUACAUCCCACCUCUCAAUCCACCUCCUCCUCCAUGUAAAGAAAAACGACACGAUCUCCUGCACGACCAAGCAGAAUCCAUCUUUGUCACGAACCCAAACCACCCGCCGCCAUCCUCAGGCGACCGUCUCAUCGCGCCCUUGCUCUCCCCUUCCAGCGUAGCAAAAGAGGGCUCAGUUUUGCCUUUCACCUUAAAGCCCAACACUCACAUAGCUUGCUGCAUAAUCUACCCAUCGCGAUGUAAGAGGACUGUCCUGGUUAUCAUUCAUCAGAAUGACCGUCCAAGGCAUAGAACAUCCAACAUUAGCUAUGAAUUGAAUUGCUGCAAGAGAGGUCAGGGUGCGCUCUAAUUUAGUACCCACAGGCCACAGCUGUCUUAAUUGCUCAAGACAUGCUUAUUUCAACCAUGGUCAUCAUCAUCGCCCCUGGUAAGAACUCCAUCUCUUCAUCACACAGUAGCAUC
RNAcentral lists this long non-coding RNA (2422 nucleotides) under Hordeum vulgare. RNAcentral describes it as "long non-coding RNA (HVUL_LNC001887)". The record is from RNAcentral. Lineage: Eukaryota; Viridiplantae; Streptophyta; Magnoliopsida; Poales; Poaceae.